RNAcentral lists this ribosomal RNA (274 nucleotides) under uncultured bacterium. Its description in RNAcentral is "partial 16S ribosomal RNA". It matches the Rfam family "Bacterial small subunit ribosomal RNA", at positions 523 to 796 of the family's 1533-position model. The record is from RNAcentral.
AUACGAAGGGGGCAAGCGUUGUUCGGAAUAACUGGGCGUAAAGCGCACGUAGGCGGAUUGUUUAGUUAGAGGUGAAAUCCCAGGGCUCAACCCUGGAACUGCCUUUAAUACUGGCAGUCUAGAGACCGAGAGAGGUGAGUGGAAUUCCGAGUGUAGAGGUGAAAUUCGUAGAUAUUCGGAGGAACACCAGUGGCGAAGGCGGCUCACUGGCUCGGUACUGACGCUGAGGUGCGAAAGCGUGGGGAGCAAACAGGAUUAGAUACCCUAGUAGUCC